RNAcentral lists this ribosomal RNA (493 nucleotides) under uncultured bacterium. RNAcentral describes it as "partial 16S ribosomal RNA". It matches the Rfam family "Bacterial small subunit ribosomal RNA", at positions 30 to 523 of the family's 1533-position model. The record is from RNAcentral.
AUUGAACGCUGGCGGCAUGCUUUGCACAUGCAAGUCGAACGGUAGCAGGUUAAGCUGACGAGUGGCGAACGGGUGAGUAAUGCAUCGGAACGUGCCCGGUCGUGGGGGAUAACGCAGCGAAAGCUGCGCUAAUACCGCAUACGAUCUAAGGAUGAAAGCGGGGGAUCGCAAGACCUAGCGCGAUUGGAGCGGCCGAUAUCAGAUUAGGUAGUUGGUGGGGUAAAGGCUCACCAAGCCAACGAUCUGUAGCUGGUCUGAGAGGACGACCAGCCACACUGGAACUGAGACACGGUCCAGACUCCUACGGGAGGCAGCAGUGGGGAAUUUUGGACAAUGGACGCAAGUCUGAUCCAGCCAUUCCGCGUGCAGGAUGAAGGCCCUCGGGUUGUAAACUGCUUUUGUACAGAACGAAAAGGUUUCUACUAAUACUAGGAGCUCAUGACGGUACUGUAAGAAUAAGCACCGGCUAACUACGUGCCAGCAGCCGCGGUAA